RNAcentral lists this ribosomal RNA (377 nucleotides) under uncultured cyanobacterium. RNAcentral describes it as "bacterial SSU rRNA". It matches the Rfam family "Bacterial small subunit ribosomal RNA", at positions 376 to 770 of the family's 1533-position model. The record is from RNAcentral. Lineage: Bacteria; Bacillati; Cyanobacteriota.
CGAAAGCCUGACGGAGCAACGCCGCGUGAGGGAGGAAGGCUCUUGGGUUGUAAACCUCUUUUCUCAAGGAAGAUAAUGACGGUACUUGAGGAAUCAGCAUCGGCUAACUCCGUGCCAGCAGCCGCGGUAAUACGGAGGAUGCAAGCGUUAUCCGGAAUAAUUGGGCGUAAAGCGUUCGUAGGUGGUUCUGUAAGUCUGCUGUUAAAGCGUGUAGCUCAACUACAUAUAGGCGGUGGAAACUACAAAACUUGAGUGCGUUCGGGGUAGAGGGAAUUCCUGGUGUAGCGGUGAAAUGCGUAGAGAUCAGGAAGAACACCGGUGGCGAAGGCGCUCUACUAGACCGCAACUGACACUGAGGGACGAAAGCUAGGGGAGCG